AUACCUUUCUCGGCCUUUCGGCUAAGAUCAAGUGUAGUAUCUGUUCUUAUGAAUUUAAUAUUUGAUAUGUGGUCCACUGCCAAGAUAGCUUGCUAUCUGGGUUUUCAUGAGUUGCUUAUGCGUUGCACUACUACGCGGGUCUAGCUCAUCCCAC
This 154-nucleotide small nuclear RNA is filed under the name Brassica napus (rape). RNAcentral's name for it is "snRNA U2". It matches the Rfam family "U2 spliceosomal RNA". Rfam says of the family: U2 is a small nuclear RNA (snRNA) component of the spliceosome (involved in pre-mRNA splicing). Complementary binding between U2 snRNA (in an area lying towards the 5' end but 3' to hairpin I) and the branchpoint sequence (BPS) of the intron results the bulging out of an unpaired adenosine, on the BPS, which initiates a nucleophilic attack at the intronic 5' splice site, thus starting the first of two transesterification reactions that mediate splicing. Lineage: Eukaryota; Viridiplantae; Streptophyta; Magnoliopsida; Brassicales; Brassicaceae. The record is from Rfam by way of RNAcentral.